GACGAACGCUGGCGGCGUGCCUAAUACAUGCAAGUCGAGCGCAGGAAAUCAUCCGAACCCUUCGGGGGGACGUUGAUGGAAUGAGCGGCGGACGGGUGAGUAACACGUAAAGAACCUGCCCUCAGGUCUGGGAUAACCACGAGAAAUCGGGGCUAAUACCGGAUGGGUCAUCGGACCGCAUGGUCCAAGGAUGAAAGGCGCUUCGGCGUCGCCUGGGGAUGGCUUUGCGGUGCAUUAGCUAGUUGGUGGGGUAAUGGCCCACCAAGGCGACGAUGCAUAGCCGACCUGAGAGGGUGAGCGGCCACCCUGGGACUGAGACACGGCCCAGACUCCUACGGGAGGCAGCAGUAGGGAAUCUUCCACAAUGGACGAAAGUCUGAUGGAGCAACGCCGCGUGAACGAUGAAGGCCUUCGGGUCGUAAAGUUCUGUUGUAAGGGAAGAACAAGUGCCGCAGGCAAUGGCGGCACCUUGACGGUACCUUGCGAGAAAGCCACGGCUAACUACGUGCCAGCAGCCGCCGUAA
This 524-nucleotide ribosomal RNA is filed under the name uncultured bacterium. RNAcentral describes it as "partial 16S ribosomal RNA". It matches the Rfam family "Bacterial small subunit ribosomal RNA", at positions 28 to 523 of the family's 1533-position model. The record is from RNAcentral.